UUAAGCGACUAAGCGUACACGGUGGAUGCCCUGGCAGUCAGAGGCGAUGAAGGACGUGCUAAUCUGCGAUAAGCGUCGGUAAGGUGAUAUGAACCGUUAUAACCGGCGAUUUCCGAAUGGGGAAACCCAGUGUGAUUCGUCACACUAUCAUUAACUGAAUCCAUAGGUUAAUGAGGCGAACCGGGGGAACUGAAACAUCUAAGUACCCCGAGGAAAAGAAAUCAACCGAGAUUCCCCCAGUAGCGGCGAGCGAACGGGGAGCAGCCCAGAGCCUGAAUCAGUGUGUGUGUUAGUGGAAGCGUCUGGAAAGGCGUGCGAUACAGGGUGACAGCCCCGUACACAAAAAUGCACAUAUUGUGAGCUCGAUGAGUAGGGCGGGACACGUGGUAUCCUGUCUGAAUAUGGGGGGGACCAUCCUCCAAGGCUAAAUACUCCUGACUGACCGAUAGUGAACCAGUACCGUGAGGGAAAGGCGAAAAGAACCCCGGCGAGGGGAGUGAAAAAGAACCUGAAACCGUGUACGUACAAGCAGUGGGAGCACGCUUAGGCGUGUGACUGCGUACCUUUUGUAUAAUGGGUCAGCGACUUAUAUUCUGUAGCAAGGUUAACCGAAUAGGGGAGCCGAAGGGAAACCGAGUCUUAACUGGGCGUUAAGUUGCAGGGUAUAGACCCGAAACCCGGUGAUCUAGCCAUGGGCAGGUUGAAGGUUGGGUAACACUAACUGGAGGACCGAACCGACUAAUGUUGAAAAAUUAGCGGAUGACUUGUGGCUGGGGGUGAAAGGCCAAUCAAACCGGGAGAUAGCUGGUUCUCCCCGAAAGCUAUUUAGGUAGCGCCUCGUGAAUUCAUCUCCGGGGGUAGAGCACUGUUUCGGCAAGGGGGUCAUCCCGACUUACCAACCCGAUGCAAACUGCGAAUACCGGAGAAUGUUAUCACGGGAGACACACGGCGGGUGCUAACGUCCGUCGUGAAGAGGGAAACAACCCAGACCGCCAGCUAAGGUCCCAAAGUCAUGGUUAAGUGGGAAACGAUGUGGGAAGGCCCAGACAGCCAGGAUGUUGGCUUAGAAGCAGCCAUCAUUUAAAGAAAGCGUAAUAGCUCACUGGUCGAGUCGGCCUGCGCGGAAGAUGUAACGGGGCUAAACCAUGCACCGAAGCUGCGGCAGCGACACUAUGUGUUGUUGGGUAGGGGAGCGUUCUGUAAGCCUGUGAAGGUGUACUGUGAGGUAUGCUGGAGGUAUCAGAAGUGCGAAUGCUGACAUAAGUAACGAUAAAGCGGGUGAAAAGCCCGCUCGCCGGAAGACCAAGGGUUCCUGUCCAACGUUAAUCGGGGCAGGGUGAGUCGACUCCUAAGGCGAGGCCGAAAGGCGUAGUCGAUGGGAAACAGGUUAAUAUUCCUGUACUUGGUGUUACUGCGAAGGGGGGACGGAGAAGGCUAUGUUGGCCGGGCGACGGUUGUCCCGGUUUAAGCGUGUAGGCUGGUUUUCCAGGCAAAUCCGGAAAACUAAGGCUGAGGCGUGAUGACGAGGCACUACGGUGCUGAAGCAACAAAUGCCCUGCUUCCAGGAAAAGCCUCUAAGCAUCAGGUAACAUCAAAUCGUACCCCAAACCGACACAGGUGGUCAGGUAGAGAAUACCAAGGCGCUUGAGAGAACUCGGGUGAAGGAACUAGGCAAAAUGGUGCCGUAACUUCGGGAGAAGGCACGCUGAUAUGUAGGUGAAGUCCCUCGCGGAUGGAGCUGAAAUCAGUCGAAGAUACCAGCUGGCUGCAACUGUUUAUUAAAAACACAGCACUGUGCAAACACGAAAGUGGACGUAUACGGUGUGACGCCUGCCCGGUGCCGGAAGGUUAAUUGAUGGGGUCAGCGCAAGCGAAGCUCUUGAUCGAAGCCCCGGUAAACGGCGGCCGUAACUAUAACGGUCCUAAGGUAGCGAAAUUCCUUGUCGGGUAAGUUCCGACCUGCACGAAUGGCGUAAUGAUGGCCAGGCUGUCUCCACCCGAGACUCAGUGAAAUUGAACUCGCUGUGAAGAUGCAGUGUACCCGCGGCAAGACGGAAAGACCCCGUGAACCUUUACUAUAGCUUGACACUGAACAUUGAGCCUUGAUGUGUAGGAUAGGUGGGAGGCUUUGAAGUGUGGACGCCAGUCUGCAUGGAGCCGACCUUGAAAUACCACCCUUUAAUGUUUGAUGUUCUAACGUUGACCCGUAAUCCGGGUUGCGGACAGUGUCUGGUGGGUAGUUUGACUGGGGCGGUCUCCUCCUAAAGAGUAACGGAGGAGCACGAAGGUUGGCUAAUCCUGGUCGGACAUCAGGAGGUUAGUGCAAUGGCAUAAGCCAGCUUGACUGCGAGCGUGACGGCGCGAGCAGGUGCGAAAGCAGGUCAUAGUGAUCCGGUGGUUCUGAAUGGAAGGGCCAUCGCUCAACGGAUAAAAGGUACUCCGGGGAUAACAGGCUGAUACCGCCCAAGAGUUCAUAUCGACGGCGGUGUUUGGCACCUCGAUGUCGGCUCAUCACAUCCUGGGGCUGAAGUAGGUCCCAAGGGUAUGGCUGUUCGCCAUUUAAAGUGGUACGCGAGCUGGGUUUAGAACGUCGUGAGACAGUUCGGUCCCUAUCUGCCGUGGGCGCUGGAGAACUGAGGGGGGCUGCUCCUAGUACGAGAGGACCGGAGUGGACGCAUCACUGGUGUUCGGGUUGUCAUGCCAAUGGCACUGCCCGGUAGCUAAAUGCGGAAGAGAUAAGUGCUGAAAGCAUCUAAGCACGAAACUUGCCCCGAGAUGAGUUCUCCCUGACUCCUUGAGAGUCCUGAAGGAACGUUGAAGACGACGACGUUGAUAGGCCGGGUGUGUAAGCGCAGCGAUGCGUUGAGCUAACCGGUACUAAUGAACCGUGAGGCUUAACCUU
RNAcentral lists this ribosomal RNA (2902 nucleotides) under Shigella dysenteriae. RNAcentral describes it as "bacterial LSU rRNA". It matches the Rfam family "Bacterial large subunit ribosomal RNA". Lineage: Bacteria; Pseudomonadati; Pseudomonadota; Gammaproteobacteria; Enterobacterales; Enterobacteriaceae. The record is from RNAcentral.